UACAGAGGGCCCGAGCGUUAAUCGGAAUCACUGGGCUUAAAGCGUACGUAGGCGGACUUGUAGGCAUCUUGUGAAAUCCCUCGGCUCAACCGGGGAAUUGCAGGGUGAACCACAAGUCUUGAGGCGAGUAGAGGCGGUCGGAACGAUAGGUGGAGCGGUGAAACGCGUAGAUAUCUAUCGGAACGCCAAAGGUGAAGACAGGCCGCUGGGCUCGUCCUGACGCUGAGGUACGAAAGCGUGGGUAGCGAACGGGAUUAGAUACCCCGGUAGUCCACGCCGUAAACGAUGCGCACUAGGUCGGGGAGGUUUGACGCCCUCCCGGCCGAAGCAAAAGUGUUUAGUGCGCCGCCUGGGGAGUACGGUCGCAAGGCUAAAACUCAAAGGAAUUGACGGGGGCUCACACAAGCGGUGGAGCAUGUGGCUUAAUUCGAAGCAACGCGAAGAACCUUAUCCAGGGUUUGACAUCCCGGAUUAACCUAUUGAAAGAUAGGCUACGCCCUCUGGGUGGAACGGUGACAGGUGCUGCAUGGCUGUCGUCAGCUCGUGCUGUGAAGUGUCGGGUUAAGUCCCUCAACGAGCGCAACCCUUAUCGCUAGUUGCUAACAGGUAAUGCUGAGGACUCUAGCGAGACUGCCGGUGUCAAACCGGAGGAAGGUGGGGAUGACGUCAAGUCCUCAUGGCCUUUAUGCCCUGGGCUGCACACGUGCUACAAUGGUAGGUACAGAACGAUGCAAGACCGCGAGGUGGAGCAAAUCGCUAAAACCUGCCCCAGUUCGGAUUGCAGGCUGCAACUCGCCUGCAUGAAGUCGGAAUCGCUAGUAAUCGCGGAUCAGCUACGCCGCGGUGAAUACGUUCCUGAGCCU
This 863-nucleotide ribosomal RNA is filed under the name uncultured bacterium. RNAcentral's name for it is "SSU rRNA". It matches the Rfam family "Bacterial small subunit ribosomal RNA", at positions 524 to 1381 of the family's 1533-position model. The record is from RNAcentral.